Molecule: long non-coding RNA, 189 nt
Organism: Melitaea cinxia (Glanville fritillary)
Lineage: Eukaryota; Metazoa; Arthropoda; Insecta; Lepidoptera; Nymphalidae
Exons: 2
Source: RefSeq, a predicted model, not a curated record
CUGGACCGGUGCAAGUCAGCACUUGGGGCGGAGCCCGCUACUUGUUGACCUUCACUGAUGACUGUACGAGGAAGACCUUCGGAUACCUCAUGAAGUCUAAAGAUGAAACGCGGAGAGUACGCCACAUGCUUUCUCGCCGCUAUCUGACGUCAACUACUGCACCGGAGAUGAAGGUGAUGAAGAUGGUAA